This 564-nucleotide ribosomal RNA is filed under the name Triticum aestivum (bread wheat). Its description in RNAcentral is "partial small subunit ribosomal RNA". Lineage: Eukaryota; Viridiplantae; Streptophyta; Magnoliopsida; Poales; Poaceae. The record is from RNAcentral.
AUGAUCAUCACUGGUGACGACUCUGACUACAUCGCCUUUGUUAAGGCCCGCCUUCACGACCAGUUCCUCAUGACUGAUCUUGGUCCUCUUCGCUAUUUUCUUGGGAUUGAGAUCUCCUCGACCUCUGAUGGCUUCUACAUCUCUCAAGAGAAAUAUAUUCAGGAUCUUCUUGCUCGAGCUGCUCUCAGUGAUGACCGCACUGUUGUGACUCCUAUGGAGCUCAACGUUCAGCUUCGUGCCUCUGAUGGUGACCCUCUUCCUAAUCCCACUCGCUAUCGUCACCUUGUUGGUAGCCUUGUCUAUCUUGCUGUUACGCGUCUUGACAUCUCCUAUCCUGUUCACAUCCUGAGUCAGUUUGUCUCGGCCCCCACCUCUGUCCACUAUAGUCACCUCCUCCGUGUUCUACGAUAUCUUCGUGGCACUAUCUCUCAGCGCCUUUUCAUUCCCCGCUCCAGUUCUCUUGAGCUCCAGGCUUACUCUGAUGCUACCUGGGCUAGUGAUCCCUCUGAUCGACGCUCGCUGUCUGCUUACUGUGUCUUUCUUGGUGGCUCUCUUAUUGCCUAG